CGGAGCCGGCUGGUGCCGGAGGUCAGACUAGAUGGCCCAGGAGACCCCUUCUGACUCGCUCUGUUUCUGUGUUUCUAAACUGGGGUCUUUGCUCCAGAGGUGUGUUUUUUCCUGACUCGGCUGUUAUCCUAAUGCAAUGCAUGCAAAAUGGGACUGCAAAAAUUGAUCUGAGUAUCCACACAUUCAGUGUAGUAGCUAUUUUAACAUGGAUUUGCGGAUUCCAAAUGAUCACAUUUCAAUCAUGGAGGAGAGAAGUGCCUGUUGGAACCUACCAAGAAUCCAGUAGGAAGAUCAUUCAGUGUGCUCAUAUGCAUUCUAGCAAGAAAAACCACCAAGUUAAAAAGAUGGCCCUGCUGCACCAUAUUUUCUAAUUAGCACUGCUGGGAGCCCACGGUCUGGAAGCACUCCAAGUCUUUGGCACGUCUGCAAACCAAGCGACACAAACUUUGCGUAGCCUGAGCUGUCGCUUCGAAAUCAGAGGUUGCGAUGUGGUGAGAAUUUCUUCUACGAAUCAAGAUAGAAAACAGAAAUCUGACACAUUUAUCAGAGGCCUUGAAUUCUGCACACUAAGGGAUAACAGCGAGGGCAGAGCACGCAAACCCUGCGGAAUUUGCAGAUUGUUUAAAGCAUUGUUUAAAAGCUAGUAGGAAGAGUCCAAAUGUGGCCAAUAUUCAUUUGCAAAUAAGUUUGGAACUGAGGUGAAAACGAAAAGUGCUUUUCUUUGAUCAGAAGCCAAAAUCAGUUGGUGUUUCAUUCUUCACAUGACCUCCAGUGGCAACUAAAUCCGCUUUAGGCAACCCAGCAGGAAAUGUGGACACAAGUUGCUUCUUCUUUUCUGCCUGUUUUCCCUUUUUUGCUAAAAGGCUAUAAAUACGUGACGUCUGUGCUUCCA
Varanus komodoensis (Komodo dragon) is the source of this 892-nucleotide long non-coding RNA. RefSeq lists it as uncharacterized. Lineage: Eukaryota; Metazoa; Chordata; Lepidosauria; Squamata; Varanidae. The transcript is spliced from 2 exons. The record is from RefSeq and is a predicted model, not a curated record.